Molecule: long non-coding RNA, 1428 nt
Organism: Daphnia magna
Lineage: Eukaryota; Metazoa; Arthropoda; Branchiopoda; Diplostraca; Daphniidae
Exons: 2
Source: RefSeq, a predicted model, not a curated record
GUCGGCUGCUAGCCACGCACGAGCCGUAUCGAUCAGCAGACGACCACAGAUAAAACGGAGAUGCGAAACGGGAAACCUGAAAGAAAAAAACAAAUACUUUUGCGAUGCUAGCGCCUUUCCAACUAGGUCCGAAACUGCAUUAUCCCUACAGUCGUAGUAACGUGUUUCGCAUUCUUUCAAUCCGAAAGCUGCGCACCUGAAAUCAAAAUCUUUUCGCUAGGUGGCAGGAAACUGCAAUCAGCACAAUCUUUCCAUGGAUGUUGCAAGGAUUCUGUAGCACCUACGACUACGUGAAACGUUGUUUAUAUAAAACCUGUAUUUAUAAAUAACGUUACUCCUACGUUCGUUUGCUUUGUUUUCAAAACAAGGCCCUCCUUAGUUUUGCUACCAUACCACAAUGAAGAGUCUCGUUAAAUGGUAGCCAUUGGGCGGAAGUUCCCUGGAAAGGGAACGUAGCUGAGUUUGUCAGAUCCUCUUUGAAUCGUGACGACGAACAAUCCAUCGAUCAAGUUUUUAUUCACACCGCAGCUGGAAAUUUCUCUCGGGAAAAAAGGUGCAUAACUUCUGGGUUCACUGUUCAACAAGGAGGACACGUUUCUUCCCUUAUUUUUUAUGCGAGUUGUUGCAAUAUUUUAGCCAAUAAUUGCAGUCAGUCGUGUUAUUUAUUUAUUCCGUUUUAUUUAUUUAUUUUUUGUUUUUCUUUUCUUUUCUUUUUCUUUUUCGUACUAGUGGGAUAGUUGCAGUUUAUAUUCGCUUGUUCGGGAGGGAUUUAUUUACGACUUGGGGAAAUUUUCGGGGCGUUAAAAACUACAGCAAAGUACACACACUCAGACACACACAAGUACGGCAGACACACACACACUCACACACACUUGGAAAGAGUGGAAGAAGGGAAAUGUUUGGCGACAAUAGACGAGAUUUCUUGCUCGUUGUCUUUGUUUUUUUUCUUUGUCUUUUGGUGUUUGCUGAGUAAACCAAAGACGAACAACAACGCAGAAAAAAAACAAAAACAAAAGAGAGAGAGAGAGAGAGAUAGACAAGUCAGAAGACAGUUGGUAUUUAGGUUUUGGUUUUGGUUUGUGUUUCUUUUCUUUUCCCUAUUCAAAUAUAACCAAAAAAAGAAGAACAGACAUAUCACACAGUGAUCUGCUACUCGUUUGGUUUUUGUUUGUUUUUUUGAACCGGUAAAAAUAAUGACAAGCAAAUUACUUAGAAAUAAUGCCCUAAUAUAUUGUUUUGUUUCAAACCGGCUGUUCUCUACUGACCAUGGGCAAACUGUUAUCUUUGUCAGCCAAAAGAGUUUUGAGCGGAACGUAAUCUCGAUCUGGUACGGCUGUCGUUUCUUGCGUCUGCAUUCCGUAGGCAAGGUCGCCGCCGACUAAUCGCACAAGUAAAAAAAAAAAAACAAUAAUAAAAUAAAAAAAUAAA